Molecule: ribosomal RNA, 492 nt
Filed under: uncultured bacterium
Lineage: Bacteria
Description: partial 16S ribosomal RNA
Rfam family: Bacterial small subunit ribosomal RNA
Source: RNAcentral
AGUGAACGCUGGCGGUAGGCCUAACACAUGCAAGUCGAACGGCAGCACAGUAAGAGCUUGCUCUUACGGGUGGCGAGUGGCGGACGGGUGAGGAAUGCAUCGGAAUCUACUUUUUCGUGGGGGAUAACGUAGGGAAACUUACGCUAAUACCGCAUACGACCUACGGGUGAAAGCAGGGGAUCUUCGGACCUUGCGCGAUUGAAUGAGCCGAUGUCGGAUUAGCUAGUUGGCGGGGUAAAGGCCCACCAAGGCGACGAUCCGUAGCUGGUCUGAGAGGAUGAUCAGCCACACUGGAACUGAGACACUGUCCAGACUCCUACGGGAGGCAGCAGUGGGGAAUAUUGGACAAUGGGCGCAAGCCUGAUCCAGCCAUACCGCGUGGGUGAAGAAGGCCUUCGGGUUGUAAAGCCCUUUUGUUGGGAAAGAAAAGCAGCAGGUUAAUACCCCGCUGUUCUGACGGUACCCAAAGAAUAAGCACCGGCUAACUUCGUG